UACGUAGGUGGCAAGCGUUGUCCAGAUUUAUUGGGUUUAAAGGGUGCGUAGGCGGCCCCAUAAGUCAGUGCUGAAAUACUCUAGCUCAACUAGAGGGGUGGCAUUGAUACUGCGGGGCUUGAGUGGAGUCGAGGUAGGCGGAAUUGACGGUGUAGCGGUGAAAUGCUUAGAUAUCGUCAAGAACACCGAUAGUGUAGACAGCUUACUAGGCUUCAACUGACGCUGAGGCACGAAAGUGUGGGGAUCAAACAGG
Molecule: ribosomal RNA, 253 nt
Filed under: uncultured bacterium
Lineage: Bacteria
Description: partial 16S ribosomal RNA
Rfam family: Bacterial small subunit ribosomal RNA
Source: RNAcentral